Molecule: long non-coding RNA, 638 nt
Organism: Stegastes partitus (bicolor damselfish)
Lineage: Eukaryota; Metazoa; Chordata; Actinopteri; Pomacentridae
Exons: 4
Source: RefSeq, a predicted model, not a curated record
GUAGCGUCAUGUGGGCGUAGUUUGAGGGGGCGUCUUCUGUAGCGGCUGUGCCUUGGCUCCGGCUGCAGUCAGACCCUUCUCGGCGCGCAGGCAGAGAAGCAAUAAACCAGGAAGAAAAAGAAGAAGAAGAAGGCAAUGUGCACCAAUAAACCAGGAAGCAGUCAUCUCAGGAAAAGUUGCAUCCUCCUGGGCAUCAUCAAAGGGCAGAGUCAGAAUUUUCUUUAAGAAGGAUGAGCAGCUGGACAGAGUGCUGGGCUUCUUGACAAGCCUGGUUGAAACACAGGCAACCCAUGUCACAAUCAAGUGGCAUUUGUUUUGGAUGUGCUUCUGCCAGAGGCAACAGUCCACUCCCUUGCAGCUGUCUGUGCAGUUUCCCUCCACAGAGCCACAGAAAUCUAUAAAUGUGGACUGCAGUAUGACUUGAAUGAGAAACAGCUGUUGGCUCAUUACAUGGCAAAAAACAUGAGCAAAGAGGCACAAAGGAAAACAAAAAACUGCGCUGAACAACUACAAAGAGCUCUGGAGUCCGAGGACUUUUUUGAAGAGGCUGUAGCUGGCCAGACAUUAAAUGCACCUGUGUAACCCUGUGUGGUACUUUAUUGGCAAUAAAACAAUAAAAGCUUUUAUUGUCUGAUUCA